This 253-nucleotide ribosomal RNA is filed under the name uncultured bacterium. Its description in RNAcentral is "partial 16S ribosomal RNA". It matches the Rfam family "Bacterial small subunit ribosomal RNA", at positions 524 to 776 of the family's 1533-position model. The record is from RNAcentral.
UACGGGGGGGGCUAGCGUUGUUCGGAAUUACUGGGCGUAAAGGGUCUGUAGGUGGCUUACUAAGUCAGACGUGAAAUCCCUCAGCUUAACUGGGGAACUGCGUCUGAUACUGGAAAGCUUGAGUGCAGGAGAGGAACGCGGAAUUCCAGGUGUAGCGGUGAAAUGCGUAGAUAUCUGGAGGAACACCGGUGGCGAAGGCGGCGUUCUGGACUGCAACUGACACUGAGAGACGAAAGCCAGGGGAGCAAACGGG